RNAcentral lists this small RNA (628 nucleotides) under Pongo abelii (Sumatran orangutan). RNAcentral describes it as "retained intron". Lineage: Eukaryota; Metazoa; Chordata; Mammalia; Primates; Hominidae. The record is from RNAcentral.
CCUGGUAUAGUUAAAAAAAAUCUCCUCUGGUACUACUGAAACAACUAAUUUUUCUUAUUUUGUUUGUUUCUCUUUAUUAUUAAAUACUAUCUGAAUUAACUCUUUAGUAGUUGGCCUGGUUGAAGCUCUGUGAGGAACAAAGCAGCCCUCUCUAGGUGAACUGCUUGACUUUACCACCUGAAGGAGUAUUUACUGCAAGAAUUAACAAAGCAUGCUGCAGUGCAAUGGCACGAUCUUGGCUCACCGCAACCUCUACCUCCGGGGUUCAAGCGAUUCUCCUACCUCAGCCUCCUGAGUAGCUGGGAUUACAGACAUGUGUCAUCACCCCGGCUAAUUCUGUAUUUUUAGUAGAGAUGGGGUUUCUCCAUGUUGGCCAGGCUGGUCUUGAACUCCCAAUCUCAGGUGAUCCUCCUGCCUCAGCCUCCCAAAGUGCUGGGAUUACAGGUGUUCCUGAUCCAAGCAGAACCCUGUUAUUUGAAGAGCCUGAGAAAUCUUAUCCCAUUUACAAAUAUCCUGGGAGUGCAUCCAAAGUGAAACUUGGGCAUCCUCAAUACUAAGAAAUCUCUGAGAAUGGCUGGGUCUUGGCUCUUUGACCUUACCUCUACUCCACUGAAAAACAUGAUUAUCU